AAACGAUAUUGGAAGCUUGCUUCCGAUAGGCGUCGACCGGCGCACGGGUGAGUAACGCGUAUCCAACCUGCCCACCACUUGGGGAUAACCUUGCGAAAGUAAGACUAAUACCCAAUGAUAUCUCUAGAAGACAUCUGAAAGGGAUUAAAGAUUUAUCGGUGAUGGAUGGGGAUGCGUCUGGUUAGCUUGUUGGCGGGGUAACGGCCCACCAAGGCGACGAUCAGUAGGGGUUCUGAGAGGAAGGUCCCCCACAUUGGAACUGAGACACGGUCCAAACUCCUACGGGAGGCAGCAGUGAGGAAUAUUGGUCAAUGGGCGAGAGCCUGAACCAGCCAAGUAGCGUGCAGGAUGACGGCCCUAUGGGUUGUAAACUGCUUUUAUAAGGGAAUAAAGUGAGUCUCGUGAGACUUUUUGCAUGUACCUUAUGAAUAAGGACCGGCUAAUUCCGUGCCAGCAGCCGCGGUAAUACGGAAGGUCCGGGCGUUAUCCGGAUUUAUUGGGUUUAAAGGGAGCGUAGGCCGGAGAUUAAGCGUGUUGUGAAAUGUAGACGCUCAACGUCUGCACUGCAGCGCGAACUGGUUUCCUUGAGUACGCACAAAGUGGGCGGAAUUCGUGGUGUAGCGGUGAAAUGCUUAGAUAUCACGAAGAACUCCGAUUGCGAAGGCAGCUCACUGGAGCGCAACUGACGCUGAAGCUCGAAAGUGCGGGUAUCGAACAGGAUUAGAUACCCUGGUAGUCCGCACGGUAAACGAUGGAUGCCCGCUGUUGGUCUGAAUAGGUCAGCGGCCAAGCGAAAGCAUUAAGCAUCCCACCUGGGGAGUACGCCGGCAACGGUGCAACUCAAGGGAAUUGACGG
RNAcentral lists this ribosomal RNA (856 nucleotides) under uncultured Bacteroidota bacterium. RNAcentral describes it as "bacterial SSU rRNA". It matches the Rfam family "Bacterial small subunit ribosomal RNA", at positions 64 to 916 of the family's 1533-position model. The record is from RNAcentral. Lineage: Bacteria; Pseudomonadati; Bacteroidota.